This 383-nucleotide ribosomal RNA is filed under the name Nais pardalis. RNAcentral's name for it is "partial 12S ribosomal RNA". RNAcentral also lists the same sequence under 1 other name. Lineage: Eukaryota; Metazoa; Annelida; Clitellata; Tubificida; Naididae. The record is from RNAcentral.
UCAUGUCAUAAAACUGGCCGGUUACUAAAAAUUACAAUUUAAAACCUAAAGAACUUGGCGGUGUCUUAUCAUACCAGGGGAACCUGUUCCUUAAUUCGAUAAUCCACGAAACCACUACCACUAAUUGAAGAAUCAGCUUGUAUACUGCCGUCAUCAGCAUACCUUAAAAAGAUACAGUAUGCAAUAAUAAUAUAAAUUAUUUAUGUCAGGUCAUAGUACAGCCUAUUUAGUGGAGGAAAUGGGUUACAAUCAUUAUAUAGAUACCAAAAAUAAAACUAAAGUUUUAUCCAAAGGUGGACUUGGCAGUAAUGAUAUACUAGAAAACUAUCAUGAAAACAGAUCUAAGACAUGCACACAUCGCCCGUCACUCCCCUCUAAAGAGG